GAUGAACGCUGGCGGCGUGCCUAAUACAUGCAAGUCGAGCGAACGGACGAGAAGCUUGCUUUUCUGAUGUUAGCGGCGGACGGGUGAGUAACACGUGGAUAACCUACCUAUAAGACUGGGAUAACUUCGGGAAACCGGAGCUAAUACCGGAUAAUAUUUUGAACCGCAUGGUUCAAAAGUGAAAGACGGUCUUGCUGUCACUUAUAGAUGGAUCCGCGCUGCAUUAGCUAGUUGGUAAGGUAAAGGCUUACCAAGGCAACGAUGCAUAGCCGACCUGAGAGGGUGAUCGGCCACACUGGAACUGAGACACGGUCCAGACUCCUACGGGAGGCAGCAGUAGGGAAUCUUCCGCAAUGGGCGAAAGCCUGACGGAGCAACGCCGCGUGAGUGAUGAAGGUCUUCGGAUCGUAAAACUCUGUUAUUAGGGAAGAACAUAUGUGUAAGUAACUGUGCACAUCUUGACGGUACCUAAUCAGAAAGCCACGGCUAACUACGUG
This 497-nucleotide ribosomal RNA is filed under the name uncultured bacterium. RNAcentral describes it as "partial 16S ribosomal RNA". It matches the Rfam family "Bacterial small subunit ribosomal RNA", at positions 28 to 507 of the family's 1533-position model. The record is from RNAcentral.